GACGUAGGUGGCGAGCGUUGUUCGGAAUCACUGGGCAUAAAGCGCGCGUAGGCGGCUAGGUCAGUCAGGUGUGAAAUCCCUCGGCUUAACCGAGGAACUGCCCUCCAAACUGCUUGGCUUGAGUCCGGGAGAGGUGAGUGGAAUUCCCAGUGUAGCGGUGAAAUGCGUAGAUAUUGGGAGGAACACCAGUGGCGAAGGCGGCUCACUGGACCGGAACUGACGCCGAGGCGCGAAAGCGUGGGGAGCAAACAGG
Molecule: ribosomal RNA, 253 nt
Filed under: uncultured bacterium
Lineage: Bacteria
Description: partial 16S ribosomal RNA
Rfam family: Bacterial small subunit ribosomal RNA
Source: RNAcentral